Molecule: ribosomal RNA, 328 nt
Filed under: uncultured eukaryote
Lineage: Eukaryota
Description: partial 18S ribosomal RNA
Rfam family: Eukaryotic small subunit ribosomal RNA
Source: RNAcentral
CCCUUAGAUGUUCUGGGCUGCACGCGCGCUACACUGAAGCUAUCAACACGUUUUCCCUCCCUGAGAAGGGCGGGUAACCUUUUGAAUCAGCUUCGUGGUAGGGAUCGGGGCUUGCAAUUGUUCCCCGUGAACCAGGAAUUCCUAGUAGACGCGAGUCAUAAGCUCGCAUCGAUUAAGUCCCUGCCCUUUGUACACACCGCCCGUCGCUACUACCGAUUGAAUGGUUUAGUGAGGACUCCUGAUUGGCGCCGCCGCCCCGGCAACGGAGCAGCGGACUGCCGAAAAGUUGUUCAAACUUGAUCAUUUAGAGGAAGUAAAAGUCGUAACA